CACGUAGGCACCAAGCGUUGUCCGGAUUUAUUGGGCGUAAAGAGCUCGUAGGCGGUUCGGUAAGUCGGGUGUGAAAACUCUGGGCUCAACCCAGAGCCGCCACCCGAUACUGCUGUGACUUGAGUGCGGUAGGGGAGCGGGGAAUUCCUGGUGUAGCGGUGAAAUGCGUAGAUAUCUGGAGGAACACCGGUGGCGAAGGCGGCAUCCUGGACCGGUAUUGACGCUGAUGCGCGAAAGCCAGGGGAGCAAACGGG
RNAcentral lists this ribosomal RNA (254 nucleotides) under uncultured bacterium. Its description in RNAcentral is "partial 16S ribosomal RNA". It matches the Rfam family "Bacterial small subunit ribosomal RNA", at positions 524 to 776 of the family's 1533-position model. The record is from RNAcentral.